Molecule: non-coding RNA, 416 nt
Organism: Malus domestica (apple)
Lineage: Eukaryota; Viridiplantae; Streptophyta; Magnoliopsida; Rosales; Rosaceae
Source: RefSeq, a predicted model, not a curated record
AAAAAAAUUAAGAAUUAGUCUCUCCGUCCCAUUCCUUCUCCCUAUCCUUUUCCCUCUCCACCUCCAUCUCCGUCGCUGCAAUUAGACAGACCGACAGCCUCAUUCCGGUGGAAAUCGAAACCAUCGUCAAAGUCAAAUCCUAAAAAAGAGGGCGGUUACAAGGCUGGGCUUAUAUACUGAAGAAUCUGAUUAUAUUCUAGGCUAGCUGCUUUCUUUGGUAAGGGAGUAGAUACUUUAUAUGCCAUGGACAGGGAAUGGAUACGAAAUCCGAAUCGAGUGAGUAGGGAAUAUUUAAAUGGGAUUUCAGAAUUUUUGAAAAGUGCAAGCAAACAUGUCAACGCUGAGGGUUAUACUAAGUGCCCAUGCCAGAAUUGUAACAACUGUAGAUUGAAGUCAUUGAGAGAAAUUCAGCAAGA